This 24-nucleotide microRNA is filed under the name Ananas comosus (pineapple). RNAcentral describes it as "microRNA s0087_c043". The record is from RNAcentral. Lineage: Eukaryota; Viridiplantae; Streptophyta; Magnoliopsida; Poales; Bromeliaceae.
GGCCGGGCUCGAAACUUUUUAGUU